GGGGGAGCUCGAGGCCCCGCCCAGAGCCUGAUCAGCUGAUGGCUGGCAAUGUCUGUUGACAGCAGCAGCCUCCGCGGCAGGACUGGGUAUGUGAAUCCAAAUGGAGCAUUCUGAAGGAGGAGACCAAAACCAGCAGCAACAGCCUUGGGGGAAGCUGAUCCGGUUAGGUGCUGAUGAAGCAGAGCCCCAUGUGUUACUGCUGAAAAGAGAAUGGACAAUUGGGCGGAAAAAAGGUUGUGACUUGUCCUUUCCUGGCAACAAACUGGUGUCUGGAGAUCACUGUAAGAUUACAGUGGAUGAAGAAUCUGGACAAGUAUCAUUGGAGGAUACCAGCACUAAUGGAACAGUAAUUAAUAAACUGAAAGUGGUUAAGAAGCAGACAUGCUCUUUGCAGACUGGGGAUGUGAUCUAUGUUGUUUACAGGAAGAAUGAGCCAGAAAACAAUGUUGCUUAUCUCUAUGAAUCCUUCAAUGCAAAACAAGAUGUAACACAAGAACCAGUAGAAGCUAAUGUAGAAAAUACUUGCCAUCUGACCAAAGAUACCUCACAUAUAGGAAGAAGUGAUGAUGGAACCCAAAUUACCUCAUCACUGCCAGCCACUCAGUCUUGCUAUGAGGAACCACAGCCAUCUACUUCUACAUCUAACCUCUUUAAUGCUUCUUCUACCUCUCUUAUCGAGCGGGCAUCUGCUGAGCAGGAUAAUCCUUCAACAUCUGGAUCACAGUCCUCUGUUUUCAUUCCUGUGCCUGCUUUCCCCACUCUAGAACCUAGGUGUCCUGGAGCAUCACAUGAAGAACAAGGACAGCUGUAUGCAAAUAGUGAAACUUCCACUAUCACUUCAAAUAUCAUUGAUAAAGAGAAAAAUGAAAGUUCUACAUCAGAGCCUCAAAGGGAAGAGGAGGAGGACUUGGAGCCUGCAAAGAAGAAAAUAAAAGGAGAUGAGAAUGCUAGUCCAUACCUUCAGAUGACCGCUCCAAAUCAAUGUAUAAUUAAAGCUGGAUCUGAAGGUGCAAAAACAACAAAUGUGAAACCAGACAAAAUGGAAGAAACACUCACUUGCAUUAUCUGCCAGGAAUUGCUGCAUGACUGUGUCAGCUUGCAGCCCUGCAUGCACACCUUCUGUGCUGCCUGCUACUCAGGGUGGAUGGAACGGUCUUCUCUCUGUCCAACUUGCCGUUGUCCAGUUGAACGUAUCUGUAAGAACCAUAUACUGAAUAACUUGGUUGAAGCCUAUCUAAUCCAACAUCCAGAUAAGUGUCGCAAUGAAGAGGAUGUACGUAGUAUGGAUGCCAGAAACAAAAUCACUCAAGACAUGCUGCAGCCUAAGGUGCGAAGGUCAUUUUCAGAUGAAGAAGGAAGUUCUGAGGAUCUGCUGGAACUGUCGGAUGUAGAUAGUGAAUCCUCCGAUAUCAGUCAGCCUUAUAUAGUGUGCAGACAGUGCCCAGGAUAUCGGCGACACUCCAUUCCGCCACUUCCUUGCCCAGGCCAAGAGGGGGAAGCAGGAGGAUUGCAAGCAUUGGGAGAUGCACCAUCAACGUCUGCUAACUUUCCUGCAACUGUCCAGGAGUAUGUUUGUCCUUCUCAAGGAAGUCAUGUAAUAUGCACGUGCUGUUUUCAACCAAUGCCAGACCGAAGAGCAGAGCGUGAACAGAAUCCCAAUAUUGCCCCUCAGCAAUGCACAGUUUGUCUACAGCCGUUCUGUCACUUGUACUGGGGCUGCACUCGGAUGGCAUGUUUUGGCUGCUUGGCACCAUUCUGUGAAAUAAAUCUUGGUGACAAGUGUUUAGAUGGAAUCCUAAACAACAACCAUUAUGAGUCGGAUAUUCUAAAGGAAUACCUGGCAUUCAGGGGUUUUACAUGGAAAAACAUGUUAAAUGAAAGUCUCUUAGCUCUUCAAAGAGAAGUUUUUAUGCUGUCAGAUUACAGAAUUACUGGGAACACAGUGCUUUGUUAUUGUUGUGGCCUCCGCAGCUUCCGAGAGCUCGCCUACCAGUAUAGGCAGAAUAUUCCUGCUGCUGAAUUGCCAGUGACUGUCACAUCACGUCCUGAUUGUUACUGGGGGCGCAAUUGCCGGACUCAGGUUAAAGCACACCAUGCUAUAUUUAGUUUAGGUGCUUUGAUGUACAUUUGCGAGAGUUAUCUGUAGCACUGGGCUGCAUUGUUGUUGCUAGGGGGUAUUUUGAUGCGCUUGGGAGCUGAUUCAGUGUCAAAACAACUGCCAGACUUUCCUAUUCAGAUUGAAGUUGGGUUUUUUGUAUCCCUCUGGAAUAGGAAUUGAAGGAAGCUUUAGUGAUAAUUCAGUGCUCUUUCUUCAAGCGUUAGCUGUACACAGAACUUCGGACAAGCUUCUAGUUCCAGAAACCCAUGAAACAAAACAGUCCUGACACACCACUUUUACACACCACACACCUUCUGCAUGAGGCAGAGCUAGUCUGCUAACUGGUGUGGGUUUGAGACCAGAUUCUUAUUAAAUAAGAGGGCUGAGAGCCUCAGGCCUUCUACUCAUCUCCUGCAAACAUCUACACGCUCAACUCUCAACUUGUGCCUUAAAUACAUGUUGGGGCACUGAACCCAUCAGGGAGAACACAAGAACAGACAAAUACUUGACAGAAAUUCAAUCACAUUUGUGAACAAACACGUUUCAAGAACUGAACUUUCUGAAAUUGAAGCUGUCUGAAUAUUUGUAGUCGUUAGAGAGGGGAUGAAAGCCCGAAAUACUGAUACAUAGGAAAUGUUUUCAGGGGAUUUUCAUUAUUCCCUCACAGCAGGGAGUUAAUAACUUUUUCAUCAGGUACUCUGGUGUGACCUUUUUAAUUUGUAGAGUUUAACAGUUUAUAUAUGAGUAAGCGAGAACCUUUUGAAAGAAAAUCUGACAAGCAUUGCAUUCCAUCCUCAUUAUUACAGUGUUACUAUUUCACUAUACUUAAAUCAAGUAAUAGCAGCCAUACAUUGGAGGUCCUAACAAUAAUCAGUAAGGAGUGUAUUUGCACUAAAUAUUUCUGAAAAUAAGAGAAACCUUUAAAUUAAAAUGGAAAUGCUCUGUACCGGUAACUUAAUAUCAAAGGAGGAAACUCAGCACAUGUUCAGACUUGUCCACUGCUAUCUUGUCAUUAGCAUUGUAGUUGGGAUGGAAAUCUAUUAAAGUUCACUUUCACAAAACAGGAAGGUGUUCUGGUAUACGUUCAUCAGAAUGGUUUUUUGUUAAUUUUUUUUUCCCUAUUCAUUAAACAAAGAACAGCUUCAGCUUACAGCUCCAAAUCAGAACAGUGCUUUGCAGGAACGCUAUAAAGGAAAACAUUUUUUUUUAGUUUAGUAAUACUGAUGUUUUUUUACCAUUAGAAUUAAAUAAUUCAAACAGUUGCACAAAUAUUUACAAAUCAGACUCAAAUUUGGGAUAGUAAUUGCUUAUGAAUAAGCUUCUGCUUUUAAUAACUGUUUAGCAAUUUUAUAUCAAACUAAACCAUUAUUGACAUAGAGCAGACAGUAAGACAAGUUGGUGCAAUUUUUUAAAUUUAUUUUUUGGUGUGAUGUACGUUAGCUAGGCAUAUAGUUUUUAUCUUGCAGCUGUGCUCUAGCGUGUGCACAUCGGUAAAAGCAUAGAAAAGCUGCCACUUCAACAGAAUAUAACAGAUUUACAAGAAAGAACAAAUGUUACCUAUGAAAAGGUCCACCACAGAUGAACUUUAGCAAUAUGGAGAAAUUCUUUUGAUGUGGGAGAGAUUUUAAGGGGAAAACUGGUGUCUCUAACGUUGAGUAUGUAGACUUAAUUUUUCACUCAUCUAUUUUUUGCUUAAUUAUGUUCAGAACAUUUCCUGAGCAUCAUAAAAAUGUGAUGUAGUCAUAAAUAUUUCCUAGUCAUCUGUCAACUAAUGUUCACAUGCUUGACUUGGACCAGCUUUUCAUAAGUAUCAUGCCCAGGAGAGCAAAGUAGAAUGGGAAGAAAGAGUACAAAGUUACCUCUGUAUAUAUCAUGUUUUACGUAUGCCUUCUUUUGCAAGCAAGAUUUAUACUUCAACAUAAAAAAAAACACUCUAUGCUAUGUGUUCUAGUGCAGCACAGGAUGAUGUAGCACAUUGUAUCUGUUAGUCAAUUAAUUAAAAAAAUACAAUACUGCACAUGUUAAUAUAAAUGCUAAUUAAAAAUAAUGGAUUUCUGUUCAUAUUUUAAUUUUAAAAGUAGCUGCAGCAGUGAUGGGUCUGUUGGUAAUAUCCAUAAUGCUGUUAAAAGUACACUUGGGUGCGGACUUCUCUUCCUAAUCUCUGGGCAUUUCCUCCUGUGAGUAGGGUUGAAAUCAGAUCUGGAAUAAUACUUGAAACUUGUUAACAAAACUUUCUGUCUACCUUUUAUUAUUACUAACAAUGUUCUGUUGCAUCUGUAUUCAUAUUUUAUGUUUAGAAAGAUUGAUUUUUUUAAUGGUUACUAUAUCUUCUCAGGACAGCCAUUCCCAGCUGUUUGGUCUCAAUUUCAACUCUGGCUGUGCAUGUAAGCAAAUGGCAUGUAUUUGUGGAAAGAGAGCCUUUGCACAUUACAUGUAGAAAUGUGAUUUGCGUUCUCACUCACUACUUUCCAUGCCCCACAUUGGCUUUUAGCAUAGGCUUGUCACUAUGCUAAUGUUCAAGUCCCAAAUGUGCUGAAUUUUUGUGGAGUAAGAAUAACAUCUACAACCUUAUGUACAACUUCUCUUGCACCUGCACAAGCUGUUGGGACAUAUGUGACAUAUUAUGUGACAUGUUAAAAAUCUACAACAUUCUCAAGUACUUGACAUCCAAACUACCUGUAUAGUAUAGUAGAGGUUCCUUAUAUACCUUUUAUGUACCCCUCUCUUCCCCCCUCCCCAAUAGAGAAUAAAUAUGCCUUUCUAUGCAUAGGGGGUUGAAGUAGUGCAAUGGAAUGAGAAGUUUUUUGUGAUUAUAUUGUACUUGGAAGAGCUGAGAGAUUAACUUGCAAAUGGGGAGGGUGAAUAAAUCCUGAUCUUUAUAUGCUCUUAAGUAACUAAGAGCAUCUGUCAUGGGUAUUACAUACUCUUAUACAUUAGUCCUUUUAAAAUGUAUGGUUGCCAGGUGAUAUUUAGAUAAUGUGAUAACUGUAUAAACUAUACUUGGUGUAAUUGUUUAAAUACUGUAAAGGUGCACCAUAUUUUUAACCUAUCUAAAGCAUACCCCCACCCUCUUUAUAAGAGAAUUUGGGAGCUGAGCAUGGAACCUUGUAGAAUAGAUGUUGUGAAAACAAGGGUGAUUAUGAUAGGGUUUAAUGUAGUGGUGAAUAAGAUAGUCUCCUUCUGUGAGAAGGUUCUUUUAUAAAGAAGGUGGAAUGCAGUUCUUCCAAUUCUUUUUGUGAUUUCCUGGAUUAAAAAGUUAUUAAAAAAAUUACCCACUGAA
RNA transcript from Trachemys scripta elegans, 5378 nucleotides. It is a transcript of the gene named checkpoint with forkhead and ring finger domains, with no coding region annotated. The transcript has 19 exons. NCBI's taxonomy places the organism in Eukaryota, Metazoa, Chordata, Testudines, Emydidae. The record is from RefSeq and is a predicted model, not a curated record.